ACUGCUCCAAAACUAGUUGCUGU
RNAcentral lists this non-coding RNA (23 nucleotides) under Arabidopsis thaliana (thale cress). Lineage: Eukaryota; Viridiplantae; Streptophyta; Magnoliopsida; Brassicales; Brassicaceae. The record is from RNAcentral.